This 949-nucleotide ribosomal RNA is filed under the name uncultured Bacillota bacterium. RNAcentral's name for it is "bacterial SSU rRNA". It matches the Rfam family "Bacterial small subunit ribosomal RNA", at positions 1 to 917 of the family's 1533-position model. The record is from RNAcentral. Lineage: Bacteria; Bacillati; Bacillota.
UGGAUCCAGACUUUGAUUCUGGCUCAGGAUGAACGCUGGCGGCAUGCCUAAGACAUGCAAGUCGAACGAAAUGUACCAAUGAAGAUUGAGUGCUUGCACAAAGUUGGAUUUGGAUUUGCAUCUAGUGGCAGACGGGUGAGUAACACGUGGGUAACCUACCCUGAAGACUGGGAUAACAGUUAGAAAUGACUGCUAAUACCGGAUGAUUCAUGAGAAGAUAACUUUUCAUGCUAAAAGGAGCGUUUGCUUCACUUCAGGAUGGGCUUGCGGUGUAUUAGCUAGUUGGUGGGGUAAUGGCUCACCAAGGCAACGAUGCAUAUCCGAGCUGAGAGGCUGAUCGGACACACUGGGACUGAGACACGGCCCAGACUCCUACGGGAGACAGCAGUUAGGAAUAUUCGUCAAUGGAGGAAACUCUGAACGAGCAAUGCCGCGUGAGUGAUGAAGGUCUUUAUGAUUGUAAAACUCUGUUGUAAAGGAAGAACAACUAUCAUAGGAAAUGAUGAUAGUCUGACGGUACUUUGCCAGAAAGCCCCGGCUAACUACGUGCCAGCAGCCGCGGUAAUACGUAGGGGGCGAGCGUUAUCCGGAUUUAUUGGGCGUAAAGCGUGUGUAGGCGGUUUAUUAAGUCUAAGAUUAAAGCCUGGGGCUCAACCCCAGUUCGUCUUAGAAACUGGUAGACUUGAGUGUGGUAGAGGCAAGUGGAAUUUCUAGUGUAGCGGUUAAAUGCGUAGAUAUUAGAAGGAACACCAGUGGCGAAGGCGGCUUGCUGGGCCAUUACUGACGCUGAGACACGAAAGCGUGGGGAGCAAAUAGGAUUAGAUACCCUAGUAGUCCACGCCGUAAACGAUGAGUACUAAGUGUCGGGUAACCGGUGCUGAAGCUAACGUAUUAAGUACUCCGCCUGAGUAGUACGGUCGCAAGGCUGCAACUCAAAUGAAUUGACGGA